AGGUGGUUAUAGCACGAGGGUUCCACCUCUUCCCAUUCCGAACAGAGAAGUUAAGCCUCGUCACGCCGAUGGUACUGCGUAACAGUGGGAGAGUAGGUAGCCGCCGUUUU
RNAcentral lists this ribosomal RNA (110 nucleotides) under Bacteroides thetaiotaomicron. RNAcentral also lists the same sequence under 20 other names. The record is from RNAcentral. Lineage: Bacteria; Pseudomonadati; Bacteroidota; Bacteroidia; Bacteroidales; Bacteroidaceae.